AACGAACGCUGGUGGCGUGCCUCAUACAUGCAAGUCGAGCGAGGCUUCGAGUCGAGCGGCGUACGGGUGAGUAUCGCGUGAGUAACCCUACCCUAUAGUUGGGAAUAACCCCCCUAACGGGGGACGUAAUACCGAAUAUUGAGUGGCACUGCAUAGUGCUUAGUCGAAAGGGCGCAAGCCCGCUAAAGGAUGGACUCGCGUCUGAUUAGCUAGUUGGAGGGGUAACGGCCCACCAAGGCGAUGAUCAGUAGCCGACCUGAGAGGGUGAUCGGCCACAAUGGGACUGAGAUACGGCCCAGACGUCCUACGGGAGGCAGCAGCUAAGAAUAUUCCGCAAUGGACGGAAGUCUGACCCAGCCAUGCCGCGUGAAGGAUGAAGGUCCUCUGGAUUGUAAACUUCUUUUAUUUGGGAAGAAAUCCAUGUAUUCUUAUGUGGUUGACGGUACCAGAUGAAUAAGCACCGGCUAACUCCGUGCCAGCAGCCGCGGUAAUCUCGU
RNAcentral lists this ribosomal RNA (497 nucleotides) under uncultured bacterium. RNAcentral's name for it is "bacterial SSU rRNA". It matches the Rfam family "Bacterial small subunit ribosomal RNA", at positions 29 to 528 of the family's 1533-position model. The record is from RNAcentral.